This 686-nucleotide long non-coding RNA is filed under the name Bos taurus (domestic cattle). Its description in RNAcentral is "long non-coding RNA NONBTAT026630". The record is from RNAcentral. Lineage: Eukaryota; Metazoa; Chordata; Mammalia; Artiodactyla; Bovidae.
AAAAACAUGUCCUUUGAAUAACCCAGCUGUAUUACUAGAAAUAAUGGUUAGUCUAGAUAGAAACUCUGCUUCUGUUAAUUCCUUCUGUACAUUUUUAAUGUUGUUGAUAGAAAAUAUUUAACUUUGUUGCAUAAUCAAGCAGGUAAAAUUGAAAUAAUCAUUAGUAAUAUUCAUUUUGAAUGUGAAUAGUGGUAUUCAACGUAAGUGAUUCUGUGAUAUGGGAAACAUAUAGUCAAAGAAGGACAGGAAUGUUUUUAGGGUGGGGAUAAUUUCCCCACUAAGAAAUUUGAAAGUACUUUCAUAUGAUUAGAGGUGGUCUCUAGACCAUUGCGUCACUGUGGUCAUUAACCAGUAUUUUCAGCUAAUAAAAACUUAAAUUACCAGAAAAAUACAGUUACUAUAGGGGCUACAACUAAGUCUUAAAUUUUUUUCUCUUAACUCCAUCUUGUUAAGGUGGUUCUAUACACUGACAUAAUAGACAAAUUAAAAUGAAAGAAAAGCUUCCUAGGAUGAUUCACUCAGAGGAGGUUCCAAGAAAGGGACAUUUAUCAUAAUGUACUAGUUUUACAUUAGAAUAUUCCACACAAAAGUACAAAUUUCUAAGUUAAUGUCACAAAUCUUCCUAAGGGAAUCCCAGUUUACAAAGAUUACAUUGAAACCAAGGUAAUUUGGGAUCAUAAAAACUG